This 584-nucleotide long non-coding RNA is filed under the name Vigna radiata. RNAcentral describes it as "long non-coding RNA (VRAD_LNC015611)". Lineage: Eukaryota; Viridiplantae; Streptophyta; Magnoliopsida; Fabales; Fabaceae. The record is from RNAcentral.
UUAACGGCGUUAAAAAAUGUUAACAUUUAAGUGACUGUACAUGUCAGGUGUCCAAUUAUCGUUGACGUGGCAGACAAUGAAAGUAGUACGUGUAAAAUAAAAUAAAUUGUUUAUGUUUUUUUAAAAUGUAGUUAAAUUAAGUUUGGGAAAAAAAUUAGGGCAGAGUGAAAUUGAAGAAAUUGGGGCAAGUGAAAUUGGGGAUUUUUUUUUCUUCGUUCUAUGACUCUGUGAGACAGAGCUUGUCAUCAUCCCUGUUUCCAUUUUCCCAACAUGAUUAUCCUAUCCGACCCAUAGCACAACUCCGUUCAUCGACCGAUAUAGGAAGCAUGUCAUCAUCCCUGUUUUCCACUUUUCUAUCAAUUUAUCUCAUGCUUCUCAGAACACUUCAAAACAAAGCUCCCUCAACCACAUCCACCCAAUUCAAUGCAUAUUGUUUAACCAAACUUACCGUUGAUUGUUUCUCACCAUGAUUGUUUCUCUCUGCCCCGACAAGUUGUUAGGCUUUCCUCGUCCUCGCCGAUGAAGGUAGUGGAAGCUACAAUUUCCUUACCACCUCUCCCCCUUUUCUCUGCUUUUUUCCGUCG